RNAcentral lists this ribosomal RNA (406 nucleotides) under uncultured bacterium. RNAcentral's name for it is "partial 16S ribosomal RNA". It matches the Rfam family "Bacterial small subunit ribosomal RNA", at positions 29 to 526 of the family's 1533-position model. The record is from RNAcentral.
AUUGAACGCUGGCGGCAGGCCUAACACAUGCAAGUCGAACGAGUGGCGGACGGGUGAGUAAUGUCUGGGAAACUGCCUGCUGGAGGGGGAUAACUACUUGAAACGGUAGCUAAUACCGCAUACCAUCAGAUGUGCCCAGCUGGGAUUAGCUUGUUGGUGGGGUAACGGCUCACCAGGGCGACGAUCUCUAGCUGGUCUGAGAGGAUGACCAGCAAAACGGGAACGGAGACACGGUCCAGACUCCGACGGGAGGAAGCAGGGGGGAAGAUGGGACAAGGGGGGAAAGCCUGAGGCAGCCAGGCAGCGUGUAUGAAGAAGGCCUUGGGGUGGUAAAGUACGUUCAGCGGGGAGGCGUUACCCGCAGAAGAAGCACCGGCUAACUCCGUGCCAGCAGCCGCGGUAAUUC